GAAGUGCCUGAGACAGUCGCUCAUUGAAUACAUUCAUUGAGAGGAAAGUCCGGACACCUUAAGGCAGUGCCGCCGCACGAAAGUGCGGGGAGCUGACAGCGAAAGCUCCAGCUCACGGAAAGUGUCACAGAAAAUAUACCGCCUGAACGAGUUUUACUUGAUCAGGUAAGGGUGAAAUGGCGAGUUAAGAGCUCACCGCCCCGAUGGUAACUGAGGGGGCAUGAUAAACCCCGCGCGGUGCAAGACAGAACAGGGAAAACGGGUAGCCUGCCCGGCCUCUUCGGAGAUGAUCCUGGGUAAUAGUCGCAGCAUGGUUCGCCCAGCUCCUGUCGUAUGACAGGAAGAUAAAUGACUGUCACCUGCCUCACUUCGGUGAGUCAGGACACAGAAUCCGGCUUAUGAGGGUACUUCCCAC
RNAcentral lists this RNase P RNA (415 nucleotides) under Verrucomicrobiaceae bacterium. RNAcentral describes it as "RNase P RNA component class A". It matches the Rfam family "Bacterial RNase P class A". Rfam says of the family: Ribonuclease P (RNase P) is a ubiquitous endoribonuclease, found in archaea, bacteria and eukarya as well as chloroplasts and mitochondria. Lineage: Bacteria; Pseudomonadati; Verrucomicrobiota; Verrucomicrobiia; Verrucomicrobiales; Verrucomicrobiaceae. RNAcentral also lists the same sequence under 1 other name. The record is from RNAcentral.